AGCGGUAGAGAGAAGCUUGCUUCUCUUGAGAGCGGCGGACGGGUGAGUAAUACCUAGGAAUCUGCCUGAUAGUGGGGGAUAACGUUCGGAAACGGACGCUAAUACCGCAUACGUCCUACGGGAGAAAGCAGGGGACCUUCGGGCCUUGCGCUAUCAGAUGAGCCUAGGUCGGAUUAGCUAGUUGGUGAGGUAAUGGCUCACCAAGGCUACGAUCCGUAACUGGUCUGAGAGGAUGAUCAGUCACACUGGAACUGAGACACGGUCCAGACUCCUACGGGAGGCAGCAGUGGGGAAUAUUGGACAAUGGGCGAAAGCCUGAUCCAGCCAUGCCGCGUGUGUGAAGAAGGUCUUCGGAUUGUAAAGCACUUUAAGUUGGGAGGAAGGGCAUUAACCUAAUACGUUAGUGUUUU
RNAcentral lists this ribosomal RNA (410 nucleotides) under Pseudomonas sp. 2AGIII. Its description in RNAcentral is "bacterial SSU rRNA". It matches the Rfam family "Bacterial small subunit ribosomal RNA", at positions 65 to 473 of the family's 1533-position model. The record is from RNAcentral. Lineage: Bacteria; Pseudomonadati; Pseudomonadota; Gammaproteobacteria; Pseudomonadales; Pseudomonadaceae.